RNAcentral lists this long non-coding RNA (333 nucleotides) under Homo sapiens (human). Its description in RNAcentral is "non-protein coding lnc-CBY3-3:1". The record is from RNAcentral. Lineage: Eukaryota; Metazoa; Chordata; Mammalia; Primates; Hominidae.
UGAAAAAAGAACCAAGAAAAGGCGUUUUUGUUUUCAACAAACUUUACUAAAUAACCCUGGAAAGGCAAUGAACGAUCUGACAAUUUAAGCUCUAAUGAUUUAAAGCUCAGCUAGAAGAAAGUGAGGCAUGACAUAUACUGUCAACGGAGGGUGAAGGAGGCAGAUUUCUGGAAAUGCAAUGAUCCCACACAUUUGCUUCAAGGAGAAACCUGCAGACAUAUUUUCAGGUCUUGCUAAGUAACAACUGUUUAUUUGUAAUCAAUACAUUUGGGAAAGUCUGCUAUGUAGCUAAGGUCACUGUGACCACAGAACAACAGAUGAAAAGGAAAAAGC